Molecule: ribosomal RNA, 460 nt
Filed under: uncultured bacterium
Lineage: Bacteria
Description: partial 16S ribosomal RNA
Rfam family: Bacterial small subunit ribosomal RNA
Source: RNAcentral
CCUACGGGAGGCUGCAGUGAGGAAUAUUGGUCAAUGGACGAGAGUCUGAACCAGCCAAGUAGCGUGAAGGAUGACUGCCCUAUGAGUUGUAAACUUCUUUUAUAUGGGAAUAAAAUGUUCCACGUGUGGGAUUUUGUAUGUACCAUAUGAAUAAGGAUCGGCUAACUCCGUGCCAGCAGCCGCGGUAAUACGGAGGAUCCGAGCGUUAUCCGGAUUUAUUGGGUUUAAAGGGAGCGUAGGUGGAUUGUUAAGUCAGUUGUGAAAGUUUGCGGCUCAACCGUCAAAUUGCAGUUGAAACUGGCAGUCUUGAGAAUAGUAGAGGUGGGCGGAAUGCGUGGUGUAGCGGUGAAAUGCUUAGAGAUCACGAAGAACUCCGAUUGCGAAGGCAGUUCACUGGACUGCAACUGACAUUGAGGCUCGAAAGUGUGGGUAUCAAACAGGAUUAGAUACCCGAGUAGUC